Molecule: long non-coding RNA, 1041 nt
Filed under: Homo sapiens (human)
Lineage: Eukaryota; Metazoa; Chordata; Mammalia; Primates; Hominidae
Description: HSALNT0362492
Source: RNAcentral
GGGUAGUCCCACAUCCCCCGCGCCUGGAGGGCCUAAUCACCGAAGGUGCUGAUGAGGGGAUAUGUGUUGCAGCGGACAGGGAUUGAGAGUGCAGGGGAGCGGUGUGAAGGGGUCGGGGUUUGGCAAAGGUGGAAGUGAAGGCGUGUCUCCUACGCCAGGUGUGAUCAUGGAAGAUGCCACCAUUGAGUUGGGUCCCCUGGUUUUACUGGAGAUGAUGAGGCCAAGUGGCAGCACUUAAUUAUUAAAGCAACACUGAGCAGUGCUGGUUUGAAGGUCUGCUUCCUCAGGGUGUGAAUGCUUACACAAGGACUAUGUCUGGAACCAAAAGGAUUUUCUCAGGUGCCUCUUGGUACUUUGUGUCCAGUAAAAAAAAAACAUAAAGAAAACUACAAAAGCAGCAACAACAAAACAGCAGAAUGAUGAAUAACUUGGAUUAAGAAUGAAGAUUUGUGUUGUACCGUCAGGUAAAGAAGUCAGUGAACUGAGGUUCUGGCUAAGGGCAAGGGAAAUAUGGAAGAAGCCACCUGUGAUGUUAUAACCAAUAACAGAAACAAAGACUGUAUGAGCUUUGUAUGUUUUCUCUUUGCUAGCUAUAUGUAUGUGUUUUGUACAUGAAAAUCAUGUUCUUCUCUCUCCAUUAUUUUAUAUUUAUGUAGUUGGAGGUUACAUUUACAAUUUAGUUUCUAUGUAGCAGAACAUUCAGUAGGAUUAUGAUUGAAUUUGAAGACUAUUUAAUACGGUCAGUAGUAGAUAUGGUGACUGUUGGAAGUUCAUUUGGGGGGAAACAAUGAGAACGCCUUCACUUCUGUGAAGGAUAGCUGUAUCUUGGUAGGUGGAAACAGAUGUUGUGUUGAUCCUACAGAAGUUGAAAUGUGUGUAGAAGGGUGGUGCAUAUGGAAACUGAGUAGCUGAAGGAGUGGACUCUGAAUCAUCAAUCCUUAUUAACUCUCAGCUCCAAAUCCAUCCUUUAUUGCCUGCUUGUUAUACUGGAACAUUUUUCCCUUGCUAGCUGAUUCAAUAGUAAGCUUCAUUAGUCGAUAG